RNAcentral lists this ribosomal RNA (434 nucleotides) under uncultured bacterium. RNAcentral describes it as "bacterial SSU rRNA". It matches the Rfam family "Bacterial small subunit ribosomal RNA", at positions 355 to 787 of the family's 1533-position model. The record is from RNAcentral.
UGAGGAAUAUUGGUCAAUGGGCGGGAGCCUGAACCAGCCAAGCCGCGUGAGGGAAGAAGGCCCUAUGGGUCGUAAACCUCUUUUGUCAGGGAACAAAAGCGAGUAUGUAUACUAGUCUGAGUGUACCUGAAGAAAAAGCAUCGGCUAACUCCGUGCCAGCAGCCGCGGUAAUACGGAGGAUGCGAGCGUUAUCCGGAUUUAUUGGGUUUAAAGGGUGCGUAGGCGGCGAUGCAAGUCAGCGGUAAAAGCCCGGGGCUCAACCCCGGCGAGCCGUUGAAACUGCAGUGCUGGAGAAGGCGAGAGGUACGCGGAAUGCGCAGUGUAGCGGUGAAAUGCUUAGAUAUUGCGCAGAACUCCGAUUGCGAAGGCAGCGUACUGGCGCCUGACUGACGCUGAGGCACGAAAGCGUGGGGAUCGAACAGGAUUAGAUACCC